RNAcentral lists this long non-coding RNA (1076 nucleotides) under Vigna radiata. RNAcentral's name for it is "long non-coding RNA (VRAD_LNC010104)". The record is from RNAcentral. Lineage: Eukaryota; Viridiplantae; Streptophyta; Magnoliopsida; Fabales; Fabaceae.
GGUCUUGCAAAGAGAACACUCUGAUGCUCAAGUUAGAUGGGAAAUUGGGAAAUUGAGUGAAUAGGAUUCAGAAAAAAGUGUCUCUACCUGAUAAAUGGUCCCCCAUUUAUAAUCCUUACAUUCAUAACUGACCAUUAAUUACCGUAAACCGUCGUAUCUUCCGUUACUUUCCCAUCAAAGCCAAUCAAUGCUUCUCUGUGCCACCAUCACUCUGACUUUAAGUCCAACCGACCGGUCCCCUUGCAAAUGGGUUUUACUCCCUCCGAUCCUUCCGGUCGGUCUAACCGGACCCCUUACACUACACAAGCCCCCCAAGCCCCGAGCGACAUCGUCAGUGAAGGGGUUUGACAACCUACCAAAAGGGAAUCCUGACACUGAAACGUCUCGACACCUCAGCCACCUGAUUAAAUCUUCACGAAUGGUCAAGAUCUCAUUGCCCAUCAAUCAUACCUGUUCAUCGAAGAGUCACCAAUUUCACUCCGUUAGAUCUGCCGCCUAUAGACGGUUGCGAUGAAUCCCCUAAACCAUUUUUUGCGGCUAUAAAAGGUGGAGGGCCCCCCUCCCAUUUUAUUCACUCCUUCCUCUGUGCCUUAUUCCUCUCGCUCCUCCUUCCCCUACUGUGCCUCAUUACUCCUCAGGUAAUGUCUUCGUCUACAUGGUCUUCCGAUGAGUUUGGGGGUGAAGGUCGGGGGUGUUGACAAAUUGGCAAGUGUACCAAAUCGUACAAGUAAUAUAAAUGGUAAGACGAAGUAUCGUUUUCCCAAGAGACUCGUAUGGCUUUCUCGUUCGCGUGAAUUAAAAUAAUAAGACUUGAAAAAUAAAAAUUAAUAAAUUGGAUUUGAGAACAAAAAUAUUAACAUGCAAAAAUAAAGUUGAUUCAAUUGACAAAUGAAAACAAUGGAUGAAUGGAUGUUCUUGGGGGUUUACAAUUUCAUCUAUUCCACUCUAUCUUACAUACUACCCUUGAAUAUUAGUUUGAUUAAUUGUUAUGCGACUUUCUUAGCCUCCCCUUAACCCGAUCCCUCGGCGAAAAGGGCCUAAUAUUAACUACUGGCUUGCUAUCCCUAGCCUCCCCU